GAACGCACAUUGCGCCCGCCAGUAUUCUGGCGGGCAUGCCUGUCCGAGCGUCAUUUCAACCCUCAAGCCCCCGGGCUUGGUGUUGGAGAUCGGCGAGCCCCCCGGGGCGCGCCGUCUCCCAAAUAUAGUGGCGGUCCCGCUGUAGCUUCCUCUGCGUAGUAGCACACCUCGCACUGGGAAACAGCGUGGCCACGCCGUAAAACCCCCCACUUCUGAAAGGUUGACCUCGGAUCAGGUAGGAAUACCCGCUGAACUUAAG
RNAcentral lists this unclassified non-coding RNA (259 nucleotides) under Ilyonectria robusta. RNAcentral's name for it is "sequence contains 5.8S rRNA gene". The stretch from base 1 to 53 matches the Rfam family "5.8S ribosomal RNA", at positions 102 to 154 of the family's 154-position model. Lineage: Eukaryota; Fungi; Ascomycota; Sordariomycetes; Hypocreales; Nectriaceae. The record is from RNAcentral.